RNAcentral lists this ribosomal RNA (253 nucleotides) under uncultured bacterium. RNAcentral describes it as "partial 16S ribosomal RNA". It matches the Rfam family "Bacterial small subunit ribosomal RNA", at positions 524 to 776 of the family's 1533-position model. The record is from RNAcentral.
UACGUAGGCAGCAAGCGUAGUUCGGAAUUACUGGGCGUAAAGAGUGUGUAGGCGGUGUUCUAAGUCUGGUGUGAAAUCUCCCGGCUCAACUGGGAGGGUGCGCCGGAAACUGGAAUGCUUGAGGAUGGGAGAGGUAAGCGGAAUUCCUGGUGUAGCGGUGAAAUGCGUAGAUAUCAGGAGGAACACCUGUGGUGUAGACAGCUUACUGGACCAUUUCUGACGCUGAGACACGAAAGCUAGGGGAGCAAACAGG